CUAUUAGCCUUGGAGACUAAAGUCUUCUAUUUAUCCACAAAAUGGGUACAGCAUGGGCAGUAGGACUGCAAGGUCUUCAUUGCCCUGCCAAUAUAGUAAUUCUGCCAUGGCAGGGUCAUUAUAAGCAUGAUGGGUUAGUGUUUAUGUCCAUAUAGUUCUUGGCCUCU
This 167-nucleotide small RNA is filed under the name Chrysemys picta bellii (western painted turtle). RNAcentral's name for it is "TUC338 (ENSCPBG00000014475.1)". Lineage: Eukaryota; Metazoa; Chordata; Testudines; Emydidae. The record is from RNAcentral.